This 479-nucleotide ribosomal RNA is filed under the name Brucella intermedia. RNAcentral's name for it is "bacterial SSU rRNA". It matches the Rfam family "Bacterial small subunit ribosomal RNA", at positions 42 to 569 of the family's 1533-position model. Lineage: Bacteria; Pseudomonadati; Pseudomonadota; Alphaproteobacteria; Hyphomicrobiales; Brucellaceae. The record is from RNAcentral.
GAAGCACUUACACAUGCAGUCGAGCGCCCCGCAAGGGGAGCGGCAGACGGGUGAGUAACGCGUGGGAACGUACCAUUUGCUACGGAAUAACUCAGGGAAACUUGUGCUAAUACCGUAUGUGCCCGAAAGGGGAAAGAUUUAUCGGCAAAUGAUCGGCCCGCGUUGGAUUAGCUAGUUGGUGGGGUAAAGGCCUACCAAGGCGACGAUCCAUAGCUGGUCUGAGAGGAUGAUCAGCCACACUGGGACUGAGACACGGCCCAGACUCCUACGGGAGGCAGCAGUGGGGAAUAUUGGACAAUGGGCGCAAGCCUGAUCCAGCCAUGCCGCGUGAGUGAUGAAGGCCCUAGGGUUGUAAGGCUCUUUCACCGCUAAAAAUAGGGACGUUACCCGAAAAUAAGGCCCCGGCUAGAUUCUGGCCAGCGCCCCGGUGAUCCCGAAGGGGCCAAACGUUGAUCGGAAUGUACCGGGCCGUAAAGGCG